Mirounga angustirostris (Northern elephant seal) is the source of this 4586-nucleotide long non-coding RNA. RefSeq lists it as uncharacterized. The transcript has 4 exons. Lineage: Eukaryota; Metazoa; Chordata; Mammalia; Carnivora; Phocidae. The record is from RefSeq and is a predicted model, not a curated record.
GACAGCAGGUAUGGCCUUCCGCGCUGAGGGCCUCCAUCACCCCUCAUGGGGGAGCUGAAAAUGAUGGCAAGGAUCAAAGCACGGAGGCUUACUUCACCUUCCUAAUGGAAGGGGCUUCAGAGGCUCAACACAGUUCUUGGCCCUAAACCCUCUUCGGCAUCCCUGUGGGAGAGUGAGGUCAACUAGCCUCUGCUUGGACCACUCCCAGACAGGAAGCUCACUACUUCCUGGAGCAGGUUAGCUCGGACUAUGAGAAAGUACCCUCCACCUGACUCCUAGUCAAGAUCCCUCCUGGAAGUGGGCCCAUUGGCUGCUCCCUUGCUCCGAGCGCUGACGGAUCUCCCUGCAGCCCCCUCACCUGGCUCCCGCUGAGGCUGGGACUGCCCUGUGGGCCGGCAGGAGGGAACCGUCCUCUCUCCCCGCCCGCCCCCCCCUCCCCCCGAGGCAGGAGAGGAGCCUGCGAGCCCUUGCCUGGACCUCAUGGGAGGAGGGACGAGAGUUCUGGGACAGGCCAGCAGAAGAUUCACUGGUCUGGGAAUGAGAACACCUGAGUCUGCACCACAUCGAGUCUACCAGUACUUGCUAUGUCAUUUUGGUAAUCUCUCCACCCGACGCAGACCUCGAACUCACGACCCCGACAUCAAGAGUCACACGCUCCACCGAGCGAGCCAGGCAGGCGCCCGUAAUUUGGGAUCUUGCUCCGGACGCCGAGACUGUAUUAAGAUGAAAAAUAAAGCCCGAGGUGCCAGGCUGGAAGGGCUUCUUUCUCAUGAAGUCCUACUUAACCCAGAAGAAGCAAGUACUCCUGAUUUGUUCUGGGAGACCAUCCUGGCUCCCGCUUGGAUUGGGUCUGGUGCUGCUCUCUUGGACUGCCACAGUCCUGUGUGCUCUACUGAGGACCUCCGCGCUGGACGGUCAUCGUCUGUCCACACCCAUGUUCCUGCCAGACUGGGGGCUUCUCUGAGGCAGGGGCUGUGUCCUGCUCCAGUCCACCCCCCGCCAAGGCGGGUCCGAUGAAUCUCUGUUUGAUGCGGAAGUUGAGGUCAUAUUCAAGGUCACCCAGGCAGAGCAAGCAUAGGACCCGUGGUCACCUGACACGCUGCACAGGGCUCUUCCACAGCCUUUCCCCUUGAUCUCGAAGAUCCUUCCUCCCUCCCUCCUUCCUUCUCUUUCUUGCAAACCUGGCUUCAGAGCGCCAAGAUUUGGGAGGCUGAAAUGAACUCAGACACUUGGGAUCAAGGGAGCUGGGAGCUGGGAGCUCCCAUGCUCUCCACGGGGCCUCCUGGGCCCAAGUCGUGCGCAGACGUCACACCUCCGACCACGUCAGUCACGUUCCCUGACCUCUCCCUGAGCUCAGCCCUGCUGAUGUGAGCAGCUGGACCCUUGGGGGUCCCUUGGGGAAAGAGGCAAACUGGGACAUGGGAAGACAAAUGAGAUGAUGAGGGGGAAGGCCAUCCUACAAAAGUAUGGCCCACAAGCUUGCGGCUUGGGGAAGCUGCCUGCUUUCUUGAUCAGACUGUCCUCCGUGGACGUCCUUGGGUGCUCUGAUGGCCCCCAAGCUAUUCCCUGAAGUAUGGGGACCAUGCAGAGGGGACAGAAUCUGGUAAGUUCUUUCCGUGUCCAGGAUGUUGUUCAUGCAGGAACCAGGGCAGUGGGUGAACACAGAGGGGGAAACUUGGUACGCAGACAUAAAAUCACAUACAAGAUGUCAUCGAGUGAGGGCAUCACUUGGUGGAGUUGGGACUAAAGCCCAGGUCGCCCUGUCCUUUCAAGACACCCAUGCUCUACUUUUUUUUAAAUUUAAUUAAUUUAUAGCUCCAGAGCCGGGGGAAGGGGCAGAGGGAGAGGGAGAGAGAGAAUCCUCAAACUGACUCCUCACUUAGCGCAGAGCCUGACACGGGGCUCGAUCCCACAACCCCAAGAUGAUGACCCGAGCCGAAAUCAAGAGCCAGAGGCACAAGUGACUCAGCCCCCCAAGCGCCCCUCAAAAUGCCCACGCUCUUAACUAAGAAGUGAACUGUCUUCAGGAGACGGGAAGUAGGAAUGAGGAUUCCAACUCUGAGAACCUCAGAUGUUUCGGAGAAGCGAGUGAGACGCUAUUUGUCAGAGAAUGUUGACAGCAAUAGAGUGAAGGGGAACAGCAUUAACUUAUGUCUCGGGCCCUGUUCUGGGUGCUUCUCAAACGAUAUUGCGAUAAUAAACAUCGCACUUUGCUGACAAGGAAACAGGCUCAUGGGGGUAAAACCACUCGUACAGGGUCACUGGCCAAUAAUGGCAGCGUUGGAGAGAGACCUUAGUUUGAGCUGAAAGCUGAGUCUUUCCACACGUGGCCUGCCACGCCGCCCAGAGUGCUCAGGUUGUGGGCAAUUACUGUCCUUGAAAAUGGUCUAUCAACUAACCAUUUAAGAAUAUAAACUGCCUUACCCACCUAAAGUAGGUGCACCUGCCCUCCAUCAGAGCCUGGCAUCCUUCCCUUUCUGGAACUUUCCACCUCUCCCUUCCCUCUUGUAUUUGCUUCAUGAAAACACUAAAACCUCAUAAUGAAAUAAAACAACUGGCCUCACGACAAAUAACAGCCCCUUCAACUGGCUUCUUUCUUCUCCAAAUAUUUCUUUAAUAUUGUGUGUUUGAUUUCAAGACAUUUCAACAACCCCCCUCAAUGAUCUUAACACUUUCCCUGAACUAGGAAAAUAAGAAAUAAAACACUCUACUGGGAAGAAAAGGAAAAUUGUAUGUUCUUUUGUUUACACGAGUGUACAGAAAAUCGUUACAAAUCUCCAUGUGGCCUUGGUGAUUUUCCAUUGUGAUAUAGAAGGAGAAAUGGAUAAACUGGAAUUUGCAACCAAUCUCCAGGGAUUUCUUUUCUAUUUGGGUGACCCCUGAAAGGCUUCUGGGCACAUAGCUAUUUUUGAAAGAAAAGAGGAAACGCUGAGGGCUGACCACCAUUAACAAUAGUUCACCCAGAUGCUAACUUAUUCUACUGUUUGCUUGUGUUUAUUUUUACUUAAUCUGAUGUUUUGAUGCAAUUGCUGGCAUUUUGUUUUUGACCUUGAACCGGUAUAAUUUAUCUUGGGCAUGCGCAGAAAGGCAGUGACCAAGGUGCUGCCUAUUUUCUUAAAUUAUGACCCAGCCACGUGACGUCAAUCGAGUGAGGUCAUCUGGGGUGGGGGUGGGGAGGAGGUACUGCUUUGAUCUUAACUGUGUGAUCAUAAUUCACCCCUAGGCUGUCUGGAAUAGGAGCUUGCUUCCUUUCACCCAAGGCUCCCACCCAGAGGCCUUUACGUUUCGGGAAGAUUUUGAGCCAAGUCCUGACCCAGGAAUUCUGGAUGCAAGAUGUGCAGAGUCAGGAUGAAACGGUGCUUUCCUAAAAUUCUGCGCUAUGUAAAUUCUAGGAAUAGUAGACGGAGCACUGGAUUGGGAGUCAGUUCCUGUAGUUCUCCCAUAAGCCCUGGGACGAAGGUUGUUGUUACACCCGUUUUAUAGAUGAAGGUACGGAGGCAUGGAGAGUUGACCUGAUUUGCCCAAGCCAGCACGCAGUGGAGCCCUGGGUUCGGGACAGGCUCCUCCCUCCGGAGGCUGCGAUCCUAAGGACCAAGCACAGUGCAUCUUCAGAUCUGCUGUGUCACCUCGGUCUCUUCCCUCCCUUUCUGGGCCCCGCGUCCUCUUCUCUGAAAUAAGGGGGCUUAGCUGAAUGAUGUCUAGGAUCCUUUCCAACACCAACUACUAAAAUGUUGUGAUUUCCCCCAAAGUCCAGACGGGGAAUUGUGGUCAAGUUUCCUCUUCCCAGAGUAAAGAGUGACAACGGUAUGGAUGAAGAGAAGUAGCAUUUCACAAUUGACUUCUCUGUCCUUAUCUCUGUUCAGUCUGCACCAUAAUUUAACGAGGGAGGCGCUAUUAUUUUACAGAUAUGGGAACUGAAGUUCGGAGAGGGGCUGUGUUAACACAGCUGGGGCUGGUGGAGCCAGGAUUAGCCUCCAUGUUCUCAUAGUACCUUGUUCCUCCCCCCAUCAUCUCGGGAUUAUCUGUGUCCACUCCAGACCAUGGGUUUGGAGCGUCAGGGACCAUGUUCUCUGUAUCUCUAGGAGCCAGCACGGAGUCUGGCCCAAAGCAGAUGGUCCAUAAACAGUGUUGCCCCAAAUAGAUGGUCAAUAAACAGUGUGGAAUAAAUGAAUGAGCCCAACACUCCAGAGCCCGUUUCUCCACUGAGCUAACUGCACAGCUAACCUCCCACUCUGUGGGAGGGAAGAAAGUGGGUUUGGGGAGAGGACCUCAGAAAGAGAUUUCAGUUAUGGGAUCAACAGCUUGGACUGAGUUGCCAGAUGCCCGCCCUCCUUCACGAGCUGGGAAAUGAGCUCAAAGCAGCAAAAUGUUUUGCCGAAAUGUUUUCUCAAUGAACCCUUGGUGAACCAAGACAGUAACCUCAAAUCCUUUCUCCUGCUGUCUGUAUUGUAGUUAGAAAAGCUUACUCUUGAGUUUUACCCUUUUCUUUGUGCUUUUCAGUAUUUUGAAAAUUUUAUAUAAUGAUUUUAAUUUUUUAAAGAUUUUAUUUAUUUGAGAGAGAGGAGUAUGGGGGGGAAGAGAAGAGG